GCUUUGUCGUCCUCUUGCAGCAGCUGUCAUUGGUUUCGGUGAUCUCAAAAUAAAAGCUGGCCUUCAGGUCCUCAAUGAGUUCCUGGCUGACAAAAGCUACAUCGAGGGGUAUGUAUCCUCCCAGGCUGAUAUUGCAGUAUUUGGGGCAUUCUCUGGUGCUCCCCCUGUUGACCUCUUUCAUGCCUUUAGAUGGUAUAACCAUAUCAAAUCAUAUGAGAAGCAAGCAUUCAGCCUUCCUGGAGUGAAGAAACCACUAGUGAAAUAUGGACCAGUGAACAUUGAAGGCACAACAGACAGCACUGCUAAA
This is a non-coding RNA of Pelobates cultripes (western spadefoot toad), 307 nucleotides long. The record is from the annotation of a GenBank genome assembly. NCBI's taxonomy places the organism in Eukaryota, Metazoa, Chordata, Amphibia, Anura, Pelobatidae.